CCUACGGGAGGCAGCAGUGAGGAAUAUUGGUCAAUGGUCGGGAGACUGAACCAGCCAAGCCGCGUGAGGGAUGAAGGUACAGAGUAUCGUAAACCUCUUUUGUCAGGGAACAAAGGCGGGGACGUGUCCCCGGAUGAGUGUACCUGAAGAAAAAGCAUCGGCUAACUCCGUGCCAGCAGCCGCGGUAAUACGGAGGAUGCGAGCGUUAUCCGGAUUUAUUGGGUUUACAGGGUGCGCAGGCGGUCUGUUAAGUCAGCGGUCAAAGCCCGGGGCUCAACCCCGGCCCGCCGUUGAAACUGGCAGUCUCGAGUUGGAGAGAAGUAUGCGGAAUGCGCGGUGUAGCGGUGAAAGGCAUAGAUAUCGCGCAGAACUCCGAUUGCGAAGGCAGCAUGCCGGCUCCACACUGACGCUGAGGCACGAAAGCGUGGGUAUCGAACAGGAUUAGAUACCCGGGUAGUC
Molecule: ribosomal RNA, 459 nt
Filed under: uncultured bacterium
Lineage: Bacteria
Description: partial 16S ribosomal RNA
Rfam family: Bacterial small subunit ribosomal RNA
Source: RNAcentral